This 1089-nucleotide unclassified non-coding RNA is filed under the name Hevea brasiliensis (rubber tree). Lineage: Eukaryota; Viridiplantae; Streptophyta; Magnoliopsida; Malpighiales; Euphorbiaceae. The record is from RNAcentral.
GCAACCACAGGAUUUUUUGCCAGACCCAGCAUCUGAGGGAUUUCAUGAGCAAGUCAUGGAGCUUAGAGAGAGGGCAAAGGAAAUCCCUGAUGAUUACUUCGUUGUUUUAGUUGGAGACAUGAUUACAGAAGAGGCCCUUCCUACUUACCAGACAAUGCUGAAUACCUUGGAUGGAGUGAGGGACGAAACAGGAGCAAGCCCCACCUCUUGGGCAAUUUGGACAAGGGCUUGGACUGCUGAAGAGAACAGGCACGGUGACCUACUAAAUAAAUACCUUUACCUAUCUGGGCGUGUGGACAUGAGACAGAUUGAGAAAACAAUUCAGUAUUUGAUCGGAUCGGGAAUGGACCCAAGAACUGAAAACAAUCCUUACCUAGGAUUUAUAUAUACCUCAUUUCAAGAGAGGGCAACCUUCAUCUCCCAUGGGAACACUGCCAGACUAGCAAAAGAGCAUGGAGACAUAAAGUUAGCUCAAAUAUGUGGAACAAUUGCCGCAGAUGAGAAGCGACAUGAGACUGCAUAUACAAAAAUCGUUGAAAAGCUCUUUGAGAUAGACCCUGAAGGAACGGUCCUAGCUUUUGAAGACAUGAUGAGGAAGAAAGUCUCAAUGCCUGCCCAUCUGAUGUACGAUGGCUGCGACGACAACCUGUUCGAUCACUUCUCAGCGGUUGCACAGAGGCUGGGGGUUUACACAGCCAAGGACUAUGCAGACAUAUUGGAGUUUUUAGUUGGGAGAUGGAAGGUGGAAAAUCUCACAGGACUGUCGAGCGAGGGGCAGAAGGCUCAGGAUUACGUGUGUGGGUUACCAGCAAGAAUUAGAAAGCUAGAAGAAAGAGCUCAAGCGCGGGCGAAAGAAGGUCCUACCAUUCCGUUCAGUUGGAUUUUCGAUCGGGAGGUUAAGCUGUAGAAGGUGAAAGGAGGAAAAAGGAAAUGUCAAGAGAAGUUGAUAGGAAAGGGAAAAGAGGAGGAAUCAUCAUCUGGUGUACUUUUUAUUGUGUUUGAGAACAAUAAUGGUUAGUAUCAUCUUCUGUGCUCUGACUUGUCCAUCCCUCUCUCAAAGGAAGAAAUUUGUGUGUGUGUGUGUGUGUG